GAGGAUGUGGCUCAAGCGGUAGUGCGCUCGCCUGGCAUGCGUGCGACCUGGGUUCGAUUCUCAGCACCACA
This 71-nucleotide transfer RNA is filed under the name Marmota monax (woodchuck). It matches the Rfam family "tRNA". Rfam says of the family: Transfer RNA (tRNA) molecules are approximately 80 nucleotides in length. Their secondary structure includes four short double-helical elements and three loops (D, anti-codon, and T loops). Lineage: Eukaryota; Metazoa; Chordata; Mammalia; Rodentia; Sciuridae. The record is from Rfam by way of RNAcentral.